GAUGAACGCUGGCGGCGUGCUUAACACAUGCAAGUCGAACGGUGAACACGGAGCUUGCUCUGUGGGAUCAGUGGCGAACGGGUGAGUAACACGUGAGCAACCUGCCCCUGACUCUGGGAUAAGCGCUGGAAACGGCGUCUAAUACUGGAUAUGUGACGUGAUCGCAUGGUCUGCGUCUGGAAAGAAUUUCGGUUGGGGAUGGGCUCGCGGCCUAUCAGCUUGUUGGUGAGGUAAUGGCUCACCAAGGCGUCGACGGGUAGCCGGCCUGAGAGGGUGACCGGCCACACUGGGACUGAGACACGGCCCAGACUCCUACGGGAGGCAGCAGUGGGGAAUAUUGCACAAUGGGCGCAAGCCUGAUGCAGCAACGCCGCGUGAGGGGUGACGGCCUUCGGGUUGUAAACCUCUUUUAGCAGGGAAGAAGCGAAAGUGACGGUACCUGCAGAAAAAGCGCCGGCUAACUACGUG
RNAcentral lists this ribosomal RNA (468 nucleotides) under uncultured bacterium. RNAcentral describes it as "partial 16S ribosomal RNA". It matches the Rfam family "Bacterial small subunit ribosomal RNA", at positions 28 to 507 of the family's 1533-position model. The record is from RNAcentral.